RNAcentral lists this ribosomal RNA (253 nucleotides) under uncultured bacterium. Its description in RNAcentral is "partial 16S ribosomal RNA". It matches the Rfam family "Bacterial small subunit ribosomal RNA", at positions 524 to 776 of the family's 1533-position model. The record is from RNAcentral.
UACGUAGGGUGCGAGCGUUAAUCGGAAUUACUGGGCGUAAAGCGUGCGCAGGCGGUUCGUUAAGUUCGUUGUGAAAGCCCCGGGCUCAACCUGGGAACUGCAAUGGAAACUGGCGGGCUUGAGUGCGGCAGAGGGGGGUGGAAUUCCGCGUAUAGCAGUGAAAUGCGUAGAGAUGCGGAGGAACACCGAUGGCGAAGGCAGCCCCCUGGGCCGACACUGACGCUGAGACGCGAAAGCGUGGGGAGCAAACAGG